GUCCUACGGGACGCAGCAGUAGGGAAUCUUCCACAAUGGACGAAAGUCUGAUGGAGCAACGCCGCGUGAGUGAAGAAGGGUUUCGGCUCGUAAAGCUAUGUUGGUAGUGAAGAAAGAUAGAGGUAGUAACUGGCCUUUAUUUGACGGUAAUUACUUAGAAAGUCACGGCUAACUACGUGCCAGCAGCCGCGGUAAUACGUAGGUGGCGAGGGUUGUCCGGAUUUAUUGGGCGUAAAGCGAGUGCAGGCGG
This 250-nucleotide ribosomal RNA is filed under the name uncultured bacterium. Its description in RNAcentral is "partial 16S ribosomal RNA". It matches the Rfam family "Bacterial small subunit ribosomal RNA", at positions 335 to 578 of the family's 1533-position model. The record is from RNAcentral.